Long non-coding RNA from Phyllostomus discolor (pale spear-nosed bat), 1822 nucleotides. RefSeq lists it as uncharacterized. The record is from RefSeq and is a predicted model, not a curated record. The transcript has 4 exons. NCBI's taxonomy places the organism in Eukaryota, Metazoa, Chordata, Mammalia, Chiroptera, Phyllostomidae.
UAAUGUGCAAUAUGGUAGGACUCUUGAGAGGGAAAAGCAAAAAGCUGCAAUCAGUCUGAGAAUUAGCAUCUCUGAGACAGGAGAACUGAUAAACAACCUUUUGCGUCAUGCACCCCACAGGCCCAGAGCUUUUAUCUUAAAGUAGUCAUCCUUCUUAAAACAAAGGAGAUGGUGGUUAGGAAGGUGGGUAGUGAUCUGCAGAAUAAAGAUAAGCCACAGAUUUCUCAAUUGCCACCGUACUUUUGUAACCAGAUACCAUCUGAAUUUUUUCCCUAGUCUAGUAUAAUAAGCAUACUUGAGGCAGUCAAGCGCAAACUUUCAUACAAUAAAUGUUUUGAGUGUAGUGGUUAUUCAACUUUGCCUUUUAUUUACUCAUACCUAAUGCAGCUGACCAUGCCCAAUUUAAUGGGGCACAUUCCUCACUGUAACCAUCAGCACAGUUGCUGCCUGGGACAACCCACAACAAAUCUGGCUGUGGCUGCCCCAGAGAUCAAGGCUGAAAGAAUGGUGAUUUUACAUCGAUAUUGUGCAGCAAUUUCCCGGCCCCUGUGAGGUUAAAAUCUCAGGACACCUAGAAAGAAAAACAAAUUUUAUAAAUGCUGUUAGAGUUCACUCCUCCUCCAAGGAUGAAUCACCACUCAUGUUCACUAAAGAAAAAUAGAUUCUAUCAGUCUUAGUGAAAAAGUUUCUGGAGCCACAAAUGCAUUUAAACAAUGAUCAAGUCAUGCCGUAACAGGCACGGGAAACAAAUGAACAAAUGCAGCAAGAAAUUGCUAAGCCUGGGUCUGAAAUCCCAGUACUGGGGAAAAAACGGAGACCAGUAAUGUUCAAAAGUGGGGCUUCCCUACUUACCAGGGCAAUGAAGAUAAGUAGACACAUGUCCCUUGGUGCUGCAGCCUCUUCAAAAAUACCAGUGAAAUAUGAAUCAAGGUUUCCAUUUCUAAAGAAAUUUCACGAACUCUUCAGCCCAGAGGGUGGGAACAGUUCAAAAAGAUACAUUUGCAAAAACAUUUCUUUCAAGAGUCAUUUUACAUUAAGAUACCCAGAAAAACAUAGCUGAAAUGACUGAAAAACAAAACAAAACAAAACAAAACAAAAGCAUCUGCUACUCUUGCAAAAUUUCAGAUAUAUCUCUAAUUAUACAACUUGUUCUGAAAUAAAGUUAUUCUCCCCGGGUAGCAAAUAUAGAUAUAAACAUCCAGCUAGCAAAAUCUUUUUCUCUGAAUUUAUAGAUUGCCUUGUUUCCAAGAACGCUGGUUUAGUGAAGGUGUCAGCCGGCAUACUUAGAGUCAUCACUCACACGGCUAUUGAAAUGGUGUGCUGUGUGCUCAUUUAAGCUUGGGGCAGGAUGCUUAUCUAGGCCCAAAAUGAGGCUUCUGACAUUCUCUUUGGCUGCUAAAGAUAAAACACUUAACCAUGUGUGAUGGCUCACUUCUGCUUAAGCAUCUUCAUGCACAGUAUACAUUUAGCCAUCUCUUCUGAGGUCAUUCAAGAGUGUUGACUACCUCUGACCACAAUUGAAAGCAGUUGGGCAUAGUUAGUCUUCAUUGUCUAAAAAGGGUGACUGCUCUCAAAAAAAAGCAAUAUUCUAAUAAAAAUAGAUACUCUUAAAAAGAGACAAAUCAGAGUAUUGAUUUCCAUUGUAAUUCUUAUUGUGUUCAACAAAGCAAAUAAUUCUAAAAGUAAUGAGGGUACACCACUUCUUUAAGGUUUUCUCAAUUCUUCCUUGUAAAAUAAUGGCUUAGUAUGUAAUUAAAGUCUAUUGAAAUUGAAUAUGAAUCUGAACUUGUUUUAUUCUAGAGAAAGUGGAGAGGAAUCACUU